CCUACGGGGGGCAGCAGUGGGGAAUAUUGCACAAUGGGGGAAACCCUGAUGCAGCGACGCCGCGUGCGUGAGGACGUAUUUCGGUAUGUAAAGCUCUAUCAGCAGGGAAGAAAAUGCAGGUACCUGACUAAGACGCCCCGGCUAACUACGUGCCAGCAGCCGCGGUACGACGUAGGGGGCAAGCGUUAUCCGGAUUUACUGGGUGUAAAGGGAGCGUAGACGGUUAAUCAAGUCAGAAGUGAAAACCCAGGGCUCAACUUUGGGACUGCUUUUGAAACUGAGUAGCUAGAGUGCAGGAGAGGUAAGCGGAAUGCCUAGUGUAGCGGUGAAAUGCGUAGAUAUUAGGCGGAACACCAGUGGCGAAGGCGGCUUACUGGACUGUAACUGACGUUGAGGCUCGAAAGCGUGGGAAGCAAACAGGAUUAGAUACCCGGGUAGUC
Molecule: ribosomal RNA, 440 nt
Filed under: uncultured bacterium
Lineage: Bacteria
Description: partial 16S ribosomal RNA
Rfam family: Bacterial small subunit ribosomal RNA
Source: RNAcentral